RNAcentral lists this ribosomal RNA (484 nucleotides) under uncultured bacterium. Its description in RNAcentral is "partial 16S ribosomal RNA". It matches the Rfam family "Bacterial small subunit ribosomal RNA", at positions 30 to 507 of the family's 1533-position model. The record is from RNAcentral.
AUUGAACGCUGGCGGCAGGCCUAACACAUGCAAGUCGAGCGGAUGAAGGGAGCUUGCUCCUGGAUUCAGCGGCGGACGGGUGAGUAAUGCCUAGGAAUCUGCCUGGUAGUGGGGGAUAACGUCCGGAAACGGGCGCUAAUACCGCAUACGUCCUGAGGGAGAAAGUGGGGGAUCUUCGGACCUCACGCUCUCAGAUGAGCCUAGGUCGGAUUAGCUAGUUGGUGGGGUAAAGGCCUACCAAGGCGACGAUCCGUAACUGGUCUGAGAGGAUGGUCAGUCACACUGGAACUGAGACACGGUCCAGACUCCUACGGGAGGCAGCAGUGGGGAAUAUUGGACAAUGGGCGAAAGCCUGAUCCAGCCAGGCCGCGUGUGUGAAGAAGGUCUUCGGAUUGUAAAGCACUUUAAGUUGGGAGGAAGGGCAGUAAGUUAAUACCUUGCUGUUGUGACGGUACCAACAGAAUAAGCACCGGCUAACUUCGUG